RNAcentral lists this ribosomal RNA (305 nucleotides) under uncultured bacterium. Its description in RNAcentral is "partial 16S ribosomal RNA". It matches the Rfam family "Bacterial small subunit ribosomal RNA", at positions 334 to 654 of the family's 1533-position model. The record is from RNAcentral.
GGUUCCUACGGGGGGCAGCAGUGGGGAAUAUUGCACAAUGGGGGGAACCCUGAUGCAGCGACGCCGCGUGAGUGAAGAAGUAUUUCGGUACGUAAAGCUCUAUCAGCAGGGAAGAAAAAAGGACGGUACCUGAGUAAGAAGCCCCGGCUAACUACGUGCCAGCAGCCGCGGUAAUACGUAGGGGGCAAGCGUUAUCCGGAUUUACUGGGUGUAAAGGGAGCGCAGGCGGCGCGGUAAGUCUGAUGUGAAAGCCCGGGGCUCAACCCCGGGACUGCAUUGGAAACUGUCGUGCUGGAGUGUCGGAG